AAGGAUUCAUCGUGUUUGACGAUACGGAGGCGCCUCCACCUCCUGUUCUUCAUGUGGAGGGCGGAUCUGGAGUCCGUUCUAAGCUCCGGAGAGGGGAAAAUCGUCGUCAUCGUCAUCAUCAACCUUCCUCCAUCGCCAAUUCCAUGAUGCUCUUCACCGUUCGUGAGUAAUCUCAUCGUAGGCUUGCUGGACGAUGAUGAGUUGGAUGAGAUCUAUCAUGUAAUCGAGUUAGUUUUGAC
This 239-nucleotide long non-coding RNA is filed under the name Hordeum vulgare. Its description in RNAcentral is "long non-coding RNA (HVUL_LNC009609)". Lineage: Eukaryota; Viridiplantae; Streptophyta; Magnoliopsida; Poales; Poaceae. The record is from RNAcentral.